GGUGGGAUGGCCGAGCGGUUUAAGGCAGCGGUCUUGAAAACCGCCGUUGUCGUAAGGCAACCGUGAGUUCGAAUCUCACUCCCACCGCCA
Molecule: transfer RNA, 90 nt
Filed under: Acidobacteriota bacterium
Lineage: Bacteria; Pseudomonadati; Acidobacteriota
Also listed under: 1 other name
Description: Acidobacteria bacterium tRNA-Ser
Rfam family: tRNA
About the family: Transfer RNA (tRNA) molecules are approximately 80 nucleotides in length. Their secondary structure includes four short double-helical elements and three loops (D, anti-codon, and T loops).
Source: RNAcentral